RNAcentral lists this unclassified non-coding RNA (294 nucleotides) under uncultured Hymenogaster. RNAcentral's name for it is "sequence contains ITS2". The stretch from base 1 to 52 matches the Rfam family "5.8S ribosomal RNA", at positions 103 to 154 of the family's 154-position model. Lineage: Eukaryota; Fungi; Basidiomycota; Agaricomycetes; Agaricales; Hymenogastraceae. The record is from RNAcentral.
AACGCAUCUUGCGCUCCUUGGUAUUCCGAGGAGCAUGCCUGUUUGAGUGUCAUUUAACUUCUCAACCACAUCAGAUGUAUUUUUGAUGUGGCUUGGAUUUGGGGGUCGUUUGCAGGCUUUUCUGUGAAAAGAAAGGUCGGCUCCCCUGAAAAGUAUUAGUGGUAUCUGAGCUACUGCUAUAGGUGUGAUAAUUAUCUAUGCCUUUGGUAUGCUGCAUGAAACAGAUUGCGCUGCUUAUUAACUGAACUUGAUAAAUUUGACCUCAAAUCAGGUAGGACUACCCGCUGAACUUAA